RNAcentral lists this long non-coding RNA (1093 nucleotides) under Phoenix dactylifera (date palm). Its description in RNAcentral is "long non-coding RNA (PDAC_LNC001420)". The record is from RNAcentral. Lineage: Eukaryota; Viridiplantae; Streptophyta; Magnoliopsida; Arecales; Arecaceae.
CCAUUUCAACAUCAUACAACCAAAUAGUUGCGAAUACAUUCGCAAUUAUCGAUCAUAGACAACCAAAACAAAAAUAUCAAUUGCAAUCAUAACUCAUACCAUAGCAAUUAGAAUUGCAAACAACCAAAUAACCUCUUAAAGCAAGUUAAUGAAACUUACAACAAAGAAAGGUUGGCAAACAAUAGUCAAAAGCCCAACAGAAGGCAUCAAUAUCUUGUGCUCAUGGUCCAACACUGAUAAUAUUAAGGGCAUGCAGGAUUUACAUGUUAUGCUUUCAUCUCCAUAGGCUGACAGGCCAACCAUUUCUAUGUUGCCAGCCAUGCUACAGAAUCAGUUUAUCUCAAGCUGCAAAACUCUAAUGAGAGUGGAAUUCAAUCUCAGAUCUCAAUCAGCAAUUAGGUGACACAUUUAUGAAGAAAAUAACUUCAUCAGGAAUUUUCUAUGGUUAAUCUUUUUCUUUUUUUUUUUGAUUGAACUAUCAUUAAAACUAUAGAGGAGGGAAAUGCAUGCAAGGAAAAAACAAGUUGCAUAAGAAAAGUAGAUCUGCCAAAUUAUGCACUUUAUCCAGAUAUAAAGGUUGAUGUUAAAUUUUUCCUAUGUACCUUUUACUAUUGAAUGUGAUCUUGGCUCCAAUAUCAAGUCAGUUUCACCCCAUUCUCUGCUCUGGACUCUGGAGGGGCUUUUUGCAACUCCAAGAAAGCAAGGCUUUUGCAGUAUCUAACAAGAGAGAAGGCAAGCACACAGGGCCAAAAGGCCAUCUAAAAUCAAACACAAGUGGGAAAAGAGAGGAGACAGUGAACAACCUCCACCCUCAGCAUGUCCCAACUGGAAGUGCAAAAAGUAACAACAAAUGGAGAAGGGAAUGUACACAAAGUGUGCCUGCAAAGAGUGGCAGGUGGAGACUGGAGGUCAGCCUCCCAGUAGCAGAAACCAUCUCAGCUUUUUUGGGACUCGUGAUCCCUAGAAAGAAGUAUCUCCACCAAUCAUCCAAGAUUUUCAUGGAGCCCAUGAAGAUAUCGGCAUAUCAUUUGUUUUGUUUUUUUGUGCUCUCUCAUUGUAUCAGAAUUCCACUGCUGGGGAGGAAACACUAGAU